Molecule: long non-coding RNA, 304 nt
Organism: Phyllostomus discolor (pale spear-nosed bat)
Lineage: Eukaryota; Metazoa; Chordata; Mammalia; Chiroptera; Phyllostomidae
Exons: 3
Source: RefSeq, a predicted model, not a curated record
UUUAGUAAUUAAAUUAUGUGUGCCAUGAAAUGAAAAAGGUUGAAAAGUACUGAUCUGGACCUUUUGCUGUGUAAUCUUAUUGUAUAGGAUACUUUCACAAUUACUGUUGACUGAACACUGCCCACAUUACUUUGUCUAUUCACCAGGCCACAGCAUGGCAGUCCGUUAUUUUCCAUUGCCUCCCAUCUGCUCUUAGUUAAUGUGCCACAUAAAGAAGAAACAGCAUCAUGUAACAGCAGUACCUUCUUAAAUUGAUCAGUAUGGAUAGAUAGUUUAAAAAAUAAUUGCAGCCCUGGGAGGGGUG